Molecule: long non-coding RNA, 934 nt
Organism: Anguilla rostrata (American eel)
Lineage: Eukaryota; Metazoa; Chordata; Actinopteri; Anguilliformes; Anguillidae
Exons: 2
Source: RefSeq, a predicted model, not a curated record
CGGAACCCUCACAAGUGACCGUUUCUUGUCUGUAACACUUGGGGGCGGUGCUGAGCCCAAUACUGCAUGUUCUGCAUUACCAAAAAAUGCCCUUUGUGUCCUGCUUUGUAAAAACUCAUUGAACUUUUUAUUGAAAUGUUUCAUUAACCUGAAAUGUUCACAACUCAAAUGAAAAAUGCCUGUAGUACAUGGGGAUUGACUUUUGUAUAAAAUGGGACUGGCGUGCCCUUGAGGUUCCACACACAGUCGGAACCCUCACAAGUGACCGUUUCUUGUCUGUAACACUUGGGGGCGGUGCUGAGCCCGAUACUGCAUGUUCUGCAUUACCAAAAAAUGCCCUUUGUGUCCUGCUUUGUAAAAACUCAUUGAACUUUUUAUUGAAAUGUUUCAUUAACCUGAAAUGUUCACAACUCAAAUGAAAAAUGCCUGUAGUACAUGGGGAUUGACUUUUGUAUAAAAUGGGACUGGCAACUCCUUAAGGUUCCACACACAGUCGGAACCCUCACAAGUGACCGUUUCUUGUCUGUAACACUUUGGGGCGAUGCUGAGUCCCAGUACUGCAUGCUUUGCAUUACCCAACAUGCCCGUUGUGUCCUGCUUUGUAAAAACUCAUUCAACUUCUGAUUAAAAUGUUUCAUUAACCUGAAAUCAAUUACGUAAAACAGCAUACAGCUAAAGUAUUUUGUCCCAACUCAAAUGGAAAUGUGUGAUUUUUUGCCCAAACGUACCAUGUUGGUAAAGUGUAUGUGUUCGGCUGCGCCUUUCACUUGCGGGUUGGGCAAACUUAUCUUUGCGCAGUGGCAGUAUCGUAGCCCAUGAGGUACAUCCGAGGCGUGAUUAUUGCUGGUUGAAAACUUAACCCAAUACCCCGCCAAAUCUGCUUGAAAUAUUAGCGGGUUUGGCAAUUUUUGACAGUCUCAUAUGGGACUGAUUA